GCCCACGUAGCUCAGGCGGCAGAGCACUUCCUUGGUAAGGAAGAGGUCACCGGUUCGAAUCCGGUCGUGGGCU
This 73-nucleotide transfer RNA is filed under the name bacterium. Its description in RNAcentral is "tRNA-Thr". It matches the Rfam family "tRNA". Rfam says of the family: Transfer RNA (tRNA) molecules are approximately 80 nucleotides in length. Their secondary structure includes four short double-helical elements and three loops (D, anti-codon, and T loops). RNAcentral also lists the same sequence under 6 other names. The record is from RNAcentral.